This 28-nucleotide non-coding RNA is filed under the name Mus musculus (house mouse). Lineage: Eukaryota; Metazoa; Chordata; Mammalia; Rodentia; Muridae. The record is from RNAcentral.
UGGGAUGCUGAGGACUGUGAUGUAUCAC